AUUGAACGCUGGCGGCAGGCUUAACACAUGCAAGUCGAGCGGGGUGAGGUGCUUCGGUACUGAUCCUAGCGGCGGACGGGUGAGUAAUGCUUAGGAAUCUGCCAUUUAGUGGGGACAACGUUCCGAAAGGAAUGCUAAUACCGCAUACGUCCUACGGGAGAAAGCAGGGGAUCUUCGGACCUUGCGCUAAAUGAUGAGCCUAAGUCGGAUUAGCUAGUUGGUGGGGUAAAGGCCUACCAAGGCGACGAUCUGUAGCGGGUCUGAGAGGAUGAUCCGCCACACUGGGACUGAGACACGGCCAGACUCCUACGGGAGGCAGCAGUGGGGAAUAUUGGACAAUGGGCGGAAGCCUGAUCCAGCCAUGCCGCGUGUGUGAAGAAGGCCUUUUGGUUGUAAAGCACUUUAAGCGAGGAGGAGGCUACCUGGAUUAAUACUCUGGGAUAGUGGACGUUACUCGCAGAAUAAGACACCGGCUAACUCUGUGCCA
This 487-nucleotide ribosomal RNA is filed under the name uncultured bacterium. RNAcentral describes it as "bacterial SSU rRNA". It matches the Rfam family "Bacterial small subunit ribosomal RNA", at positions 30 to 510 of the family's 1533-position model. The record is from RNAcentral.